UGGGGAAUAUUGCACAAUGGGGGAAACCCUGAUGCAGCGACGCCGCGUGAAGGAAGAAGUAUCUCGGUAUGUAAACUUCUAUCAGCAGGGAAGAUAAUGACGGUACCUGGCUAAGAAGCCCCGGCUAACUACGUGCCAGCAGCCGCGGUAAUACGUAGGGGGCAAGCGUUAUCCGGAUUUACUGGGUGUAAAGGGAGCGUAGACGGCAAAGCAAGUCUGAAGUGAAAGCCCCGGGCUCAACCCGGGAACUGCUUUGGAAACUGUUUAGCUAGAGUGCAGGAGAGGUAAGUGGAAUUCCUAGUGUAGCGGUGAAAUGCGUAGAUAUUAGGAGGAACACCAGUGGCGAAGGCGGCUUACUGGACUGUAACUGACGUUGAGGCUCGAAAGCGUGGG
RNAcentral lists this ribosomal RNA (393 nucleotides) under uncultured Clostridium sp. RNAcentral describes it as "bacterial SSU rRNA". It matches the Rfam family "Bacterial small subunit ribosomal RNA", at positions 355 to 765 of the family's 1533-position model. Lineage: Bacteria; Bacillati; Bacillota; Clostridia; Eubacteriales; Clostridiaceae. The record is from RNAcentral.